This 253-nucleotide ribosomal RNA is filed under the name uncultured bacterium. Its description in RNAcentral is "partial 16S ribosomal RNA". It matches the Rfam family "Bacterial small subunit ribosomal RNA", at positions 524 to 776 of the family's 1533-position model. The record is from RNAcentral.
UACGUAGGGGGCAAGCGUUAUCCGGAUUUACUGGGUGUAAAGGGAGCGUAGACGGCAAAGCAAGUCCGGAGUGAAAGCCCGGGGCCCAACCCCGGGACUGCUCUGGAAACUGUUAAGCUGGAGUGCGGGAGGGGCAGGCGGGAUUCCUGGUGUAGCGGUGAAAUGCGUAGAUAUCAGGAGGAACACCGGCGGCGAAGGCGGCCUGCUGGACCGUGACUGACGUUGAGGCUCGAAAGCGUGGGGAGCAAACAGG